GAAGAAUAAAAGUAAACUUUUACCUCGUUCCAUACACCAAAGCACUCGAGAUUUAUCCAUAUUUAAGUAUGAGAACCUACAGAAGAAAAAAAUAGGAGUAUAUCAUAAUGUUUUAGAAUAUGGCAAUGAAUUUUUUUAUUACACCAAAAGCACAGAUGUUAUGUGAACAACUUCAAGUUCCUGCUGCUGUGACUUCCCUACUAUGAUGGACUGCAACAUGGAACUGCAAGCCAAAAGGAACCCUGUAUCACUUUCUCUCAUAUACUGCUUUUGUCAGAGUGUUUUAUCACAUCAAUCAGAAAGAAACUCAGGCACAGAGAGGUGGAAUUACUGCUGAAGUGAACUCCCACUACCUGCCUUGGGAGGUGGAGAGCAAUUCAAACUGGAAUAUAAUUUCUAAACAGAGAAUUUCAUGAUGUUGUAAAUUUUACAGAUGUCAAGCUCUAAGUUAAAACAGUUCUGUAGGGUGGUCCUGUGUGCUCCCAAACCACCAGUAGCCUCAUGGAGAACCCAAGUUGGCCUCGAAAAUGGGAAUAAACAUUGUAUAAGUCAAAGCCAGUAACAAUGCAAUCCUGCUACAAUGAAAAUCUUGUGUUACUUUAGAAGUCUACUUAUUACCAGGCCGUGGAGACACACACUUUAAAUCCCAGUACUCGAGAGGCAGAGGCAGAGGCAGGUGGAUCUCUGUGAGUUCAAGACCAGCCUGGUCUACAAGUUGAGUUGAAGGACAGACACUCACAGAGAAACCCUGUCUCGAAAAACCAAAAAUCAAACAAAGAAGCCUACUUAUUUCCAGCAACACUAUAUACAACCUAGCACAUACAAUGAAAUGGUAACUCCUUGCUCUGUUAGAGCUAAAUCAUUAAAUGUAUUCGGGUAAAUUUAUUUCCGUGCUGUGCUAAACAUUACAAUAUAAACUUUGAGUAGAAAAGUGGGAUCCAAGAAAUGUGCUUUCUCUUUGAACUGACCUUGGGUAAUAACAACUAUAUGCUAAGUGGGAAAGUGUUGAAUUUUCUUGCUUUUUACACAUUUUCCUUGCUAUUACAUAUAAUUACAGACCUUAUGUGUGCUUCUCAGUACUGUUUUUUUAUUUAAUGUGCUGACUAGUCUGUCAACUUGACACACAUACUAGUUAUCUGAAGAGAGAGAACCUCAAUUGAGAAAAUGCCUGCAUAAGAUUCAGCUGUAAGGCACUUCUUAGUGAUUUAUGGGGAAGGGCCCAG
This 1223-nucleotide long non-coding RNA is filed under the name Cricetulus griseus (Chinese hamster). RNAcentral describes it as "lncRNA (ENSCGRG00015041117.1)". The record is from RNAcentral. Lineage: Eukaryota; Metazoa; Chordata; Mammalia; Rodentia; Cricetidae.